This 255-nucleotide ribosomal RNA is filed under the name uncultured archaeon. RNAcentral's name for it is "partial 16S ribosomal RNA". It matches the Rfam family "Archaeal small subunit ribosomal RNA", at positions 748 to 998 of the family's 1478-position model. The record is from RNAcentral.
CAGCCGUAAACUAUGCGCGUUAGGUGUAUCGGUGACCACGAGUUACCGAGGUGCCGAAGGGAAACCGUGAAACGUGCCGCCUGGGAAGUACGGUCGCAAGGCUGAAACUUAAAGGAAUUGGCGGGGGAGGCACCACAACGGGUGGAGCCUGCGGUUUAAUUUGGACUCAACACCGUAAACUACACCAGGGAAGGACUGUUACAUGAAGGCCGAGAUGAAGACUCUGCUAGAUUUUCUAGAGAGGAGGUGCAUGGC